Molecule: long non-coding RNA, 1218 nt
Organism: Alosa sapidissima (American shad)
Lineage: Eukaryota; Metazoa; Chordata; Actinopteri; Clupeiformes; Clupeidae
Exons: 3
Source: RefSeq, a predicted model, not a curated record
UAGUGUGAACUAUGGUGGUGGAACUUACAUAGUACGAUGCAUCGUGACACUGCGUCAGUGUUUCCCAAAACCAUAGUAGCAACUAACGUUCGCAACCACUAUCGUAAAGUUGUGUAGUUACAGCUACACCUCUCGACCUGUAGUAUGUAGUAAGAACCAUAGUAGACGACGUAACCCUGAUGACGGAACACGCAGAGGACAGAUGGAUGAGAGGUAGCCAUUAAACGAUCCCAUAACAUUGCUGUGGGAUACCAUACCAUAGCAUUGCUGGAAGCUACAAUUGCACAUUACUGGACAACGUUAUGUGGUACAGUGGAAAGUGAAGUGUUGUGGAGUUAGCCCACAACAGAGCGGCCUGUGGUGAAGUGCUAUGGUGACCGCAAUCAUCUGUGUUGUUAUUAUUCGUGAAUUUACAUGUAGCCUAAUGCUAAUGUGUCAGCACAGAUUCUUUCGAACACCCGUUAAGUUAAGUUAUCUGGUGAUAAAGCUUUUGAAUGCCAACGGUAUUGUUAUGUGAGGCUAGCAUUGUAAUUGUUAUAAAAGGAUAACGUUACAUUGUAGUCGUAUUUUAGUGUGUUUGGAUGAAGCAUCUGCUAAUCAUACACAUAGCUAACGGUAUAUGGACUCUACAGCCCAUUAUGAUGUGGUGAAGUGACUGUGCUGUGGCAGAGACUGUAGCGUGUGUGCUUUACAUGAGAGAGGUCAGGGGUUCAAGACUGAGUCGAUGGGUGUGAGGUAUGGGUAGGCCUGUCAUGGGAGGCGGAAAAAUGGCCAGCAGGAAGGUGUGCAGCAGCCACUGGAAUGACCUCUUCCACCUCCUCCACUAACAGCUCCUCAUCAGCCGGCAGUGGGAUGUGAUCCUGAAGGGCCAUGUUGCAGAAGCGCCGCCACUAAAACUACACUGCACGCCUUUGCAGGAUGGAGCUUCAGGCCACCAGCGGAUUUGCUCACACACCUUUCCACAUGCCCAGGGCCCUCUCCAAAACAACGCGGGUCCGGCUAUGGGCGUUGUUGUAUCGCGCCUCUGCCUCGCUGUUGGGCUCCUAGAUGGAGCAGUUGACAUGCUUGUAUUAUCAUAGGGGGUUGAUGGAAUAAAGUAGGUCUUGAAAUGUCAGUGCACUCAGGAAAUAUAGACAUGCAUUUGAAAACAACAGUAUAGACUUUGCUACUAUCUCAGCAGCAGAAGGCAACAACAUGAGCAGCACCUACAAUAACACU